ACAGUGAGCAGGCCUCCUCCCACUAUAGUUACCCCCCCAGCCCGCCCUCGUCUUCCUACUACAGCUCGGUGGCACCCGGCCCCGGCAGCCUCCCCUCCAGCCAUCUCAACAAGGCUGUGGGCAUGCCUCCUGUGAGCCACUCUAACCUGUACCCAUCUGGUCUGGGGAUGAAGACUCCCAUUGGUGGUCACAAGCGUCUGAUCCCGUCUCCAGAGCCCAGCCCAGAAGGGGGCUACGUGGGACAACACUCCCAGGGCCUGGGGGGCCACUAUGCUGACUCCUACCUGAAACGCAAGCGUGUCUUCUAAUGUAAACCAAUCAAAGCUUCUUGUACGAUUUGCCAAUUAACAGCCAGGAUAUGGCUCUAUUUCCCCCAGGAGCUCCUCCAAUCAGCUUUUAGGUUUUGGGCUUGGCGGUCCAGUGUCUCUCACUUGUGUUCCUGCCAGCGAUUUCUCCCCCCCCCCCUGGAGGGCCCUGGGGUUGCAGCCUGUCGCUAAUCAGGACAUAACAAUGCGUGCCAGUGUAUGGGAGUUUUGAUGUGUUUUUUUUGUGUAAAUAUAUGAUUUCAGUGUGCUUGUAAAUGAAGUUUUAUCCUUUGAUUUUUAAUGUCUUUUUUUCUAUCAGGAAAUCCCUUUGUUUAAAAAUGGGGAGUUACCUUGUACUAUAAGAAAAUAAUUGUAAAAUCUGAUUUCAGGUCUUUUUUUCCUCUGCGUAUUCCCUUCAUUGGUUGGCUGAGCGCUUUUUAUUUAAAUUUUUAUAUUUUGUAUUAGUUYUUUCUUCCUGUUGUGAUGGUGUCAACGGGUUUCUAUUUUUAAAAGCUUUUCCUCCCARUAUUUUUGUAUAUAUUUCAUUAGUUUGAUGGGAWGUUUUUUUUCUUCMCGCUCCUUCCUCCUACAGGGAUUAUGUACUGACUGUCUGGACAGGAUUCAGGCCUUCGAUUCAUGUAGAUCUGUGUAGCAGUACUGCCUUUGUCUUUUGUCCUUUGGAAAAACUGUCCCCUUACCAAAAAACUAGUCUGGAAUAUGCUGUUKUCAACCCUUUACUCUUCCACCCCUCCAUCUCAUUUGGGAGCCCGUUCUCUGCACUGAAUGUUUGGUGUUGCACUUGGAGGACACGGGUGGGUCACAAUUCUCCAGGUUUGUUGCAUUUCUAYUGUUCUCACCACUUUUUUAUUUUUACCCCCCAUUCUGUUCUCUGCAGAAUCUUGUAUAUUCUGUUUUGACGUGAGCUCUUUGUCGGCUGAGUAUUUGCAUCUCAACCACCAUGGCACCUGAUUUGCUCUCGUUCGUUUGGAGGGGRUGGUAGCWGUGCCUUAUCCAGACUUUAAUAUCUACAGAUUAUAACAGUAAGUGGCCUCUGUUCACCCAAGCCUAAACAUUAAUUAACUGUACUUUCAUUUAUUAAUGAGCCAUGGCUAGGUUGGCUCUCCUGUGGCUGGCUGUCCCUCCCCUGUAGACCAGCAGGGGGGGCUGUUUAUCCUCAGGCAAAACUGAAAUUAAAUCAAGCUUGACAGUUUCACACUGAUGGUUGACAAACUGAAACMGGUUGUAGAAUUUWUAWCCAGUUUUCCAGUCCAGRAGAAGUUGACUUCCUAUCUGAAGUGUUACURUGAUGGGAGUGUCCAGUGACUCUUAACAGGUGUUUACUCGGUCUGCCUCGAAGGUUUGCAUGGAAAUUAAGCUUAUGAUUGGUCAGUGAUUGAGUUCUUAGUCUGUGAAGAAUAAUCUGGUUGACAUUUUGAUCGUGAUCACCAUUACCUCUUGACUUCUGAUGGGAACUGCAAUUACACUUGAGCCUUAAGUUUUUUUUCUUUUUCUGUCAUCUCAUCUUCCCCUCUGUGGGCUUUUUGACUACAUCCCAUUGUUUUUUGCCGAGUACAUACUUUAAAGCUUGAUCAUUUCCUCGGAGUCCUAAACUCUUGUUUUCUCAAUCAUAUCUUUGGCCUCUGGUCUGUUUUAAGAUUGAAUCUGCUGCUCAAUAUUUUGUGUGUUUUUAGUGACCAUUACCAAGUGCAGCCACCUGUCUAAUGGUAGAUUUCCCCAUGUUCUGUAUAGACCAAUAGGUGCUGCUGUAUGAUAUGAAUGAAGAUUGCUUUUGUUUUUCCUCAUACAUGCUGUCUGUCAUCUGUACUGCGAUAUGUGUCUGUUUUGGAGCAAGUAAAUGUUAUUUAAUUAA
Molecule: long non-coding RNA, 2175 nt
Organism: Salvelinus sp. IW2-2015
Lineage: Eukaryota; Metazoa; Chordata; Actinopteri; Salmoniformes; Salmonidae
Exons: 3
Source: RefSeq, a predicted model, not a curated record